This is a long non-coding RNA of Drosophila simulans, 2889 nucleotides long. RefSeq lists it as uncharacterized. The record is from RefSeq and is a predicted model, not a curated record. The transcript has 2 exons. NCBI's taxonomy places the organism in Eukaryota, Metazoa, Arthropoda, Insecta, Diptera, Drosophilidae.
AACUCAGAUAGUGUUAGUUCAAUGGAGAAUUUUCGACAUUCUUUUGGCAUAUCUAUAGAAAGCUCCAAGACAAAUAAUUUUCUAAAAAAAAUGGGAACAUUUUUGAAAAGUGUUGGCAUGGCAGUUUUGGACAAACUGCUCUAGAAUCUGGAGAAUAAGUCUCAACGCCCUGACUUUUUAUAGUUCCUCAGAUCUAGAAAUUUAUACGGACGGAAAUGGACAGAUCGCGGUUUUUAUUAUUUUACGAAAAUUGAAGCAGUAGUCAACCUGCGCUGCAUACAGGCUUAGUCCCAACUAGCACUUAAGGUUCGCGAUGUUCCAAAGUUCAUACAAUCGGGCAGUCGGACAAAAGACCAUGGGAAAGCACGACUCGUUUUGUAAUCAUGGACUACAGAGAACUUAUAUACACCCACCUACAAAAACUCCAAUUUAAUUUUUCGCUGCUCAAGUCACAAAACUAUUGACAAUGAAGACAAACCCGGAUCAAAUGAAACCACAAGGAAGUAACUAUUCAGCUGACUGCAAGCAGAGGAAACUUUAAUGUUGCCUUAAUAUACUGCCCUCCUUACACUUAGAUGGACAGAUGCCAUUGCUGGGCAGUUCAUCACACACAAUUGGAGAAGCCACAUGCUACCCCCACCAUGCAACUGCCUCUCCAAGUGCCAUAGAUUUUGGGAUCUCCAAAGGCUUUAGACAGCAACUAAUCAGGGUGAAAGUGCUGACAGAACUGUUAUCUGACCAUCAUCUGCCAUUGAUUGAAGACGCCCAAUCAUUUAGAAGUGUUAAAAAAAUGCUGUCUCCACAAGCGAGAAUUCGGAUCUUUAAAAAACACAUCGAGGCUACUGUAGAACUCAACAUUUUCAUUGACACUUGCAGUAGGCUGGAAGCGUACGUCGACUACUUCACAUCGGCGAUCAUUGAAGCUGCAAGGCAGGCUACACCAAGUUGGUCUCACGGCCAUAAGGAGGCCUGCCAUUUUAAGCUUGGAGGCUAGGGACUUAGCCACAAAAGACGCCUCAGAAGACAAUACACCGCGACAGGAGAUCCUAGCAUUUACCAGCAAUAUUCAUACUCCAACGCUCAGACACGCCCUAUACCUUACCGCAUAAGGUAAUGAUGCAACUAAAGGCUUUGCAGCCAAAAAAAACCCUGGUUACUAUGGCAUAGACAACCGAACUGCGAAAUUUCUACCACGCAAAGGAGUGCUUGCUCUUGUGAAAAUAUUUAAUGCUAUGCUAAGAUUAGGUAAUUUUCCCAGGCAAUGAAAACGUGCGCGCAUUGUAAUGAUCCCCAAAGCUGGAAAGUCACCAACACAGAUCGACUCAUACCGCCCGAUAAUCCUGCUACCAACUUUCUCCAACGUUUUUGAGAGAAUUUUGCUUACCCGCUUGAUGGAACUGCCGGAGGUAGGUAACACAUCCCACAAGAACUAGCUUUGAACAGUCGGCGUAUUUUUGGACGUGAAACAAGCGUUUGAUAAGGUGUGGCAUGAAGGUCUGCUAUAUAAAAUGAAAGAUCUCCUCCGAGCAGCCCAUUAUGCCAUCCUCAGCUCCUUCAUCGCUGAUCGGCCCUUCGAUGUUGCUGUACGAAACUGUCGGUCAAGCCUGGAACACAUUCAUGCAGGGGUUCCACAGGGAAGUGUGCUUGGACCCUUUCCGUAUACCCUGUACACUGCUGACAUGCCAACUCCCGUCAACAACACCGAUGAAGCCUCCCCUGCUCAGCUGCUCCUGGCCACCUACACUGAUGACACCGCCAUGCUUGCGUCGCACUCAUCCUUUCAAUUCAGCCCAAUGCAGUUCAGGAAUGGCUGCAUGCAAUCGAGCGAUGGACUGGUAAAUGGAACAAAUCCAUUACAUACUAAGUCGGCCUGUGUCACAUUUACCCUGCGACCUCAACAUGCCUAGGUCUUCUCUUUGACGGAAAUACCAUUGACCACGUCUCAUCCCACUGCUACUUCGGAGUUCACCUUGAUGGACGCUGAGUUGAAAAGCCCAUAUCACGGCAGUUAGAGCCAAAUCCUCAUGGAAGCUGAAAAAGCUGGACAGGCUUUUCCACUCAAGCAACCCUCAUAUGGCAGUUAAGGCUCCCUUAAUAAAAGCCAUAUUAGGUCCAACACUGACCCACGCAAUCCAAGUGUGGAGUGUGCCUCUGGGACUCAGCUCAAUGGGCUUGGAGUAAUACAAUCGCGAGCGGCACGACAUGCAUCUGGGCUACCCUGGUAUGUGAGCAACCGAGUCAUCGAAAAGGACUUAAAAGUUGUCCCACUGGGAGACCAAAUAAACUUCCACAGCAGCCGAUAUGCCGACAGACUUAGCGCCCACCCGAACUCGUUGGCGAAUCUUGUCGACCCUUUUUCCCCCUAUUUUACAUUUGUAUACAUUAUAAUUAAGGAACAGUAUCCAUAAUAUUAAGCAACACAUUAAGUUCAUAAGUUCAGAACAAUAAAAGAUUUCAAAAAAAAAAAAACAUUCUUCGUGUUGAUUCUGUACGAGUAUGAACACAAGAAAUCAACAUGCACUUUACAAUUUUAUAUUCAAUGCAUAUAUUUAUGUCUUCAUGUUUUAAAAAAUCAAGUAAUUAUACCACCCAAGACCUGACAUUAAUUUAGCUUAAUCUAGAUAACGACAAAAAAUUUAAUUCACUGGUAAGCAUAAUUAUUAUUUGAUACCCAAUCUGCCACCGAAAUGCUCUUCUGUGGAAGCGUUUUCAAAAAAAAAAAAAACAAGCCAACAGUGUAUAACAAAAUACACGGAAAAAAUUAAUCAGCAUUACCAAGGAACCUUGCGUUAAAAUUAUUCGGAUAAUCUUGCAGUUCAAGAUUACUCGUGGUUGAAAACGGCUGCGGCCCACCUAAAAAAUCAUAAGUAAGAGCUGUCCCAAAUGCAA